This 301-nucleotide ribosomal RNA is filed under the name uncultured bacterium. Its description in RNAcentral is "bacterial SSU rRNA". It matches the Rfam family "Bacterial small subunit ribosomal RNA", at positions 337 to 635 of the family's 1533-position model. The record is from RNAcentral.
UCCUACGGGGGGCAGCAGUGAGGAAUAUUGGUCAAUGGGCUUACGCCUGAACCAGCCAAGUCGCGUGAGGGAAGACUGCCCUAUGGGUUGUAAACCUCUUUUGUCAGGGAGCAACGCCGGCUACGUGUAGCCGGACUGAGAGUACCUGAAGAAAAAGCACCGGCUAACUCCGUGCCAGCAGCCGCGGUAAUACGGAGGAUGCGAGCGUUAUCCGGAUUUAUUGGGUUUAAAGGGUGCGUAGGCGGAAUGCGAAGUCAGCGGUAAAAUCUCGGGGCUCAACCUCGCUACGACGUUGAAAUUG